Molecule: small RNA, 354 nt
Filed under: Leclercia adecarboxylata
Lineage: Bacteria; Pseudomonadati; Pseudomonadota; Gammaproteobacteria; Enterobacterales; Enterobacteriaceae
Description: cspA thermoregulator
Rfam family: cspA thermoregulator
Source: RNAcentral
CAUUUUCAGUAAAGAAGUCCUGAGUAAACACGUUGUCGUUGAAUACCGCUUCUCUGCCGAACCUUAUAUUAGUGCCUCAUGCAGUAAUGUCUCAGUUUUAUCUCAGUGAAUGCCCGCGGGCUAAGAAAACAUUCUAAGGAAUUUUGCAAAUGGCAAAGAUUAAAGGUCAAGUUAAGUGGUUCAACGAGUCUAAAGGUUUUGGUUUCAUUACUCCUGCUGACGGCAGCAAAGAUGUGUUCGUACACUUCUCUGCAAUCCAGGGUAACGGCUUCAAAACUCUGGCUGAAGGCCAGAACGUUGAGUUCGAAAUUCAGGACGGCCAGAAAGGUCCGGCUGCUGUUAACGUAACCGCUA